CGGGCGUACGAUUCUGGCGGCGUGAGGGCCCAGGCAGGCGCCGCUUCCAGAAGGUUCGGUGGCGGUUGGGCCGCGCCGGUGCGGGGAAGGCCCGCGAGCCGCAGCAGUCGCGCCCGACCCGGUGGCAGCCCCGAGGGAAGCGUCUGGGGCGGCCCAAGUGGUGGAGCAGGGCGGACUUGGGCCUUCACUCUCCGCGCGGCGGUAAAUAUUUGUGCUGGGCGUUCCCGGCCGCCCGCGCUGCCGAUUCGCUGCCGCGCCCAGUGCCUGGGCGGCCGGAUGAGGUCAGAGCGGAAGGCGCGGCCCGGGCGCCUGGCAGUGGGGCCUGAUUCCCACCCCCGCCCCUAACCCACCCCGGCACCAGUCUCCCGCAUCGCAGCUCUCGCUGAGAUCGGCACUAAGAGAGAAUGGAAGGCUGUUUCCUAGAAAGGAGCAUUGGUGGCGGCUGCUGGGAAGACACGGGGAAGGGAACGGGCCUUUGGUGCCGCAGCACAAAGCGUCACGAGAUGGGGAGGAGGAAAGGCCCGCGACUGUCUACACCGCCGGCUGCAGUUUUUACUGGGAGCGCUGAGCGCCAGCCUGGAGGUGCACGUGUUGCAGUGAGGAUCCCUGAAACAUGCCGUGUUUUACUGCACAAGAUGUGCCCUUGAAUGGAGUCCAGGCCAGUCGGGGUCACCAAAAAAAAUCCACCAAAAAACACCCAAGAAGGGAGAAAAGGUCACCCCCCACGUGCUGGAAUGACAGCUUUUUACUUGCUAGGCAGUUUGACCUUUUCCGAAUUUUCUACAGUGCACAUAGAUUUGUACUUACAUCUUUAAAUUAAAACCCACGCAACUCCGGC
This 838-nucleotide non-coding RNA is filed under the name Pongo abelii (Sumatran orangutan). Lineage: Eukaryota; Metazoa; Chordata; Mammalia; Primates; Hominidae. The record is from RNAcentral.